Molecule: long non-coding RNA, 201 nt
Organism: Cervus elaphus (red deer)
Lineage: Eukaryota; Metazoa; Chordata; Mammalia; Artiodactyla; Cervidae
Exons: 3
Source: RefSeq, a predicted model, not a curated record
AAGAAUCUUCCUGCUAAAGCAAGAGCUGCAGGAGCCGCAAUUUCAAUCCCUGGGUCGGGACGAUCCCCUGGAGGACAAAAUGGCAACUCACUCCAGUAUUCUUGCCAGGAUAAUCCCAUGAACAGAGGAGCCUGGCAGGCUACAGCCCAUGGGGUCACAAAAAUUCGUACAUGACUGAACACACAUGCAUAGGGAAGAAAA